GAGUGACAGGCUUUAAGGGUGAUCUUCCAAAACAAAUGUGACUCAUAACCAUUAGUGCAGCACAUGCUAACAACUCAUGUCCUAAUCAGCCUCUGAGUACUCCCUGGAACAUGGAAUUGGUCAAAUUGUAGAAGAGGUUUAAAGAAGAAAAUGCUGCAACGUUUCAUGUAAAUAUGGCUCCAUCAAGCAUGACAGCUUUUAUGUGGAAUUUCCUUGGUAAUGAGUAUUUAAUGUAGAAUACCCUGGAACAAGGUUGGGAAAUUCUGGCUUCAUGUGUGGUUUCACUCCCACACCCAGGACCCGUGUCUCUCUGUCGGCUGCCCUCAGGCUGCUGGAGCCAGCUUUACCUGCACUUGGACAACUGAUAGUGUGUAGAAAUUUGCAUCCUCGUGAGGAUGCAAAUUUAACCUUAACCACCAACUGAGGAUAAUCUGGACAACUCAAAAUCUGCUGAGACAGAUACUUCUACCCACCCACACCACUGUUGGAUUCUACUUGAUAUUGAAUAUACAUUCAAAAUUCUUCCUUGGGCUGGGCACAGUGGCUCAUACCUAUAAUGCCAACUACUCUGCAGGCUGAAGAAGGAUUGUUUGAAGCUAGUAGAACUGUUUGGGGCCUGCACAACAUAGCAAGUUCCUAUCUCUAAAACAAAAAAAUGAAUAAAUGCAUGCAUGCAAAAUUGAAUGAAUAAAUAAAUAAAUACAUGAAAUUCCUCCUUGAAUCUGUAAAAUGACUUAAUAAAAGCUUCUUGAAAGACUUUUUAUGUGUCAUUAUCUACAUUGGCACCAUCUAGAUUAAUCCAGCUUGCUGUGACCUGCUGAACUCCAACAUCAAAUAAAUUCUGCAAUAUCAGGAGGACAAGGGGACAGAGGAUUGCUGAUGUACAUGGACGCAGGCCAUUGCACUAGAACACACCAUAAGAUUUCUUCUUGCCUCUGGAUUAUGGUGAAGACAGCAGCAAUCAAAAGCUCUGUGGCUUUUUUCCCCACCUUCACUGUGAAUGGAAAGCCUUGAAGUGUUCAUUCUUGAACACAUUUAACAGAUGCAUUCAUUACUGUUUACUAACUGAAACCAUGACUCUAAUACUUGUGUGAAAUAUAUCUGACAUGUCUUGACAUCCUCUCAGAGCUCUGUGGAACCUCAACUGUGGUGGAAUAGAGUUUAUUUUAAAAAAUAAAUUGUUGCUGUCUGAUAGCAAUGAGAACAGGGGUGUCUUUCCUUUCAAGUAAGUGUUUUGUCAGUGUGCAUAGGUUUAUGAAAAAUGUUCAAAAUAUACAGAAAAAAUUAUUUUGGGGCUCUUGGUUCCCUUAGGAUGUGGCAUCUCAUUCCUAAGUCUCUUACUUUGAAUGGUACAGAAU
Molecule: long non-coding RNA, 1358 nt
Filed under: Homo sapiens (human)
Lineage: Eukaryota; Metazoa; Chordata; Mammalia; Primates; Hominidae
Description: HSALNT0326262
Source: RNAcentral